GAUGAACGCUGGCGGCGUGCCUAAUACAUGCAAGUCGAGCGAACGGACGAGAAGCUUGCUUCUCUGAUGUUAGCGGCGGACGGGUGAGUAACACGUGGAUAACCUACCUAUAAGACUGGGAUAACUUCGGGAAACCGGAGCUAAUACCGGAUAAUAUUUUGAACCGCAUGGUUCAAAAGUGAAAGACGGUCUUGCUGUCACUUAUAGAUGGAUCCGCGCUGCAUUAGCUAGUUGGUAAGGUAACGGCUUACCAAGGCAACGAUGCAUAGCCGACCUGAGAGGGUGAUCGGCCACACUGGAACUGAGACACGGUCCAGACUCCUACGGGAGGCAGCAGUAGGGAAUCUUCCGCAAUGGGCGAAAGCCUGACGGAGCAACGCCGCGUGAGUGAUGAAGGUCUUCGGAUCGUAAAACUCUGUUAUUAGGGAAGAACAUAUGUGUAAGUAACUGUGCACAUCUUGACGGUACCUAAUCAGAAAGCCACGGCUAACUACGUGCCAGCAGCCGCGGUAAUACGUAGGUGGCAAGCGUUAUCCGGAAUUAUUGGGCGUAAAGCGCGCGUAGGCGGUUUUUUAAGUCUGAUGUGAAAGCCCACGGCUCAACCGUGGAGGGUCAUUGGAAACUGGAAAACUUGAGUGCAGAAGAGGAAAGUGGAAUUCCAUGUGUAGCGGUGAAAUGCGCAGAGAUAUGGAGGAACACCAGUGGCGAAGGCGACUUUCUGGUCUGUAACUGACGCUGAUGUGCGAAAGCGUGGGGAUCAAACAGGAUUAGAUACCCUGGUAGUCCACGCCGUAAACGAUGAGUGCUAAGUGUUAGGGGGUUUCCGCCCCUUAGUGCUGCAGCUAACGCAUUAAGCACUCCGCCUGGGGAGUACGACCGCAAGGUUGAAACUCAAAGGAAUUGACGGGGACCCGCACAAGCGGUGGAGCAUGUGGUUUAAUUCGAAGCAACGCGAAGAACCUUACCAAAUCUUGACAUCCUUUGACAACUCUAGAGAUAGAGCUUUCCCCUUCGGGGGACAAAGUGACAGGUGGUGCAUGGUUGUCGUCAGCUCGUGUCGUGAGAUGUUGGGUUAAGUCCCGCAACGAGCGCAACCCUUAAGCUUAGUUGCCAUCAUUAAGUUGGGCACUCUAAGUUGACUGCCGGUGACAAACCGGAGGAAGGUGGGGAUGACGUCAAAUCAUCAUGCCCCUUAUGAUUUGGGCUACACACGUGCUACAAUGGACAAUACAAAGGGCAGCGAGACCGUGAGGUCAAGCAAAUCCCAUAAAGUUGUUCUCAGUUCGGAUUGUAGUCUGCAACUCGACUACAUGAAGCUGGAAUCGCUAGUAAUCGUAGAUCAGCAUGCUACGGUGAAUACGUCCCCGGGUCU
RNAcentral lists this ribosomal RNA (1372 nucleotides) under uncultured bacterium. RNAcentral describes it as "bacterial SSU rRNA". It matches the Rfam family "Bacterial small subunit ribosomal RNA", at positions 28 to 1381 of the family's 1533-position model. The record is from RNAcentral.